UACUUUGAUCGAAUGCCCCUCAACCCACGUCGCUUGGCAUUUCAACCCUUCUUCCUUUUCCUAUUAAUAGAAGAUGCCUCUGCUUGAGUUUUCUUACCAAUAUUGAAAAAGAGAAACUUUGGUUGUAGCUACAAUAACAUGAUGACAAUAUGCGAAUAAUUACGGUGGUGUGUGGUGGUGAACAACGCGACAAGCGUAAGAGUGUUUAAAGACUUUAUUGCAGUGCACAUGGCGACCUCAAGAAUGGAAAUGGCUUGAAUACUGAGGGAAAAGAAGGUUGUUAAUCGUACAACUAACGGAAAGAAAGUUAUAGGUCUCGCUUCUACUACCAUUGCUAUAGGUUAUCCUAAUAUUAAGAAAGCUCGGUUAGAAAUUGGGGAGCAUGUGGUCGUCAACCUUUCGGACAAGCAUCAAGUUGUAGGUAACAACCAAGUUCAGUCAAAGGAGACCAUCGAAGAGUCCACCCCAACACUGGUUGGCAGAUGGUUGCUUUCUCACCCUACUCUUGUUAAAGGUUAAGAGAAGAGAAAUCAAGACAGAGAAAAGAAAUGAUGUUCAAAAAGAUUCAUGGAAGAAAAUAUGUUUAAUUAUCUCUAUUAACUCAACAAGGCUUAAGCUAUAUCAGAAAAGCUUAAGCCAUUUUAGAGAAGUUUAAUAUUUCAAUCUGCCAAAAAAGGCCUUAAGCAAUUUUAGAAAGGCUUAAGCCAUUUCAAUUUCUUCAGGGUGAAGUAUUUAAAAAAGGCUUAAGCCAUUUCAUUAAGGCUUAAGCCAUUUUAAUUUCUUCAUGGCGAAGUAUUUAUAAAAGGGCUUGAGCCAUUCAGAAAUAGCUUAAGCCAACUUAUGGCAGUAAAUAACCCUUUGUUUUAAAUCAUAACAUAAAAAAGGGGAAAGAAAGGAAGACAUGGUAGCUUUGGAGAAAAUGCCACACCUCAACCAUCUCUCUCUCUAGCCUUGAAGAUCAUCUAAGUUGAAGAUUUUGGUGGUGAUUCCGACGUUUCGGGAAUGGAACGACGACAAUUUCUACUAGAUUCUUCUUCUUCUCUUCUUUUGUUGGUUGGCUCUCACGGAAAUGAGUAGCUAAUCUUUUCUUUUUGGGAUUGGAUGUAACCUCUUGCAGCUUAAUGUAGCUCUUGA
Molecule: long non-coding RNA, 1134 nt
Organism: Cajanus cajan (pigeon pea)
Lineage: Eukaryota; Viridiplantae; Streptophyta; Magnoliopsida; Fabales; Fabaceae
Source: RefSeq, a predicted model, not a curated record